AACACCACGAUCACAUGUGAUGCCGACCUCUGGAUGUCAGUCCAUGUUUCCUGGGGUCAUGUCAUGACUAGUGGGUAUGGCGGGGGAGCCCUCUCCGUCAGCACCUGGAAGCAAAACUUCGGCUUGCUUGGAGACUCCAGCUAUACAUUAGAACCGUGGUUCCCGACACCAGUGCCCGGACGACCAGCUCGUGGCACCCCUGAUAACCACUACAACAAGGCCCACACCGCCAUGCGCAAUGUUGUGGAGUGGUGCAUCGUUGUAAGCUUGUGCACAGCUGCUCAAGCAUCAUUGCUGCUUGUGCAGCUCUGCACGACAUUGCGUUGGCGGCACAUGAGCCUGUUCUCGAAGGAAACGAUGACACCGACGAUGCUGACUGCUGCCAGCAGCAGCUGAGCUACCACCACCACCACAACGGGAGCCAGCAGCAGCGCAACCGUGUAGUGAACCUGUUUCGAGAACUACAGGGCCUGCAUGCUUGAGCACCUGCGCAGAGUACGCCGCCGCCUGCAACGACCUCGGCAGCAUUGCGUGGUGCCUUCCGCUGCAAUGAGGGCCCGGGCGAGGGUACCAACGCCUUGCAAUUUGUGGACCGCGUCACCGAGAAGUUGAACCUGACGCAGCUUUCCAAUGAUGCCUGGCCCUGCCGCCUGGUGUUUGCGGCUAGUAACUCCAGCGCCUCGGCCUGCCUGUUGCCCCCAUCUCGCAGCUGCGGCAUGAGCUGGAAACCAAGAAAUGUGUUGCCAUUAUCAUCUAUAAAUUUCCUGCUACCGACUCUUCGCUGGAAGCUUCUGUUCGUGAAGAGUUUCAGUGUGUGCAACAAUUUCCUCUC
Rhipicephalus sanguineus (brown dog tick) is the source of this 832-nucleotide long non-coding RNA. RefSeq lists it as uncharacterized. Lineage: Eukaryota; Metazoa; Arthropoda; Arachnida; Ixodida; Ixodidae. The transcript has 4 exons. The record is from RefSeq and is a predicted model, not a curated record.